UAGCCGUAAACGAUACUCGCUAGGUGUCGGCCACGGUGCGACCGUUGUCGGUGCCGUAGGGAAGCCGUGAAGCGAGCCACCUGGGAAGUACGGCCGCAAGGCUGAAACUUAAAGGAAUUGGCGGGGGAGCACAACAACGGGUGGAGCCUGCGGUUUAAUUGGACUCAACGCCGGACAACUCACCGGGGACGACAGCAAUAUGUAGGCCAGGCUGAAGACCUUGCCUGAAUCGCUGAGAGGAGGUGCAUGGCGUAGACGUCU
Molecule: ribosomal RNA, 261 nt
Filed under: uncultured archaeon
Lineage: Archaea
Description: partial 16S ribosomal RNA
Rfam family: Archaeal small subunit ribosomal RNA
Source: RNAcentral